CUUUGGCCUUCUUGCCCAUGAGGACACUUUACUGCCUCAUGGUUUUCCUAAGGGCGGUGCACUCAGGAUGCAGAAGCCACCUCUGGACCCUUGAGCUUACCUGGAAUCAAGGUUCUACAUCUGUCUCCUUGCCAUCACAGUGUGAAGUUCCUGCUUCCAGCACCCUGGGUCAGCUGCAAGGUCCUUCCCCCUGCAUUCACCAUCCUGGUGGACACACACCUCUCAUCCACCUGCUUCUCCUGGACAACUAAAGAGGACACAGCCAUGAGCAA
Long non-coding RNA from Pogoniulus pusillus (Red-fronted tinkerbird), 272 nucleotides. RefSeq lists it as uncharacterized. Lineage: Eukaryota; Metazoa; Chordata; Aves; Piciformes; Lybiidae. The transcript is spliced from 2 exons. The record is from RefSeq and is a predicted model, not a curated record.